Molecule: ribosomal RNA, 477 nt
Filed under: uncultured bacterium
Lineage: Bacteria
Description: partial 16S ribosomal RNA
Rfam family: Bacterial small subunit ribosomal RNA
Source: RNAcentral
AUUGAACGCUGGCGGCAUGCCUUACACAUGCAAGUCGAGCGGUAACAGGUUAAGCUGACGAGUGGCGAACGGGUGAGUAAUGUAUCGGAACGUGCCCAGUCGUGGGGGAUAACUGCUCGAAAGAGCAGCUAAUACCGCAUACGACCUGGGGGUGAAAGCGGGGGAUCGCAAGACCUCGCGCGAUUGGAGCGGCCGAUAUCAGAUUAGGUAGUUGGUGAGGUAAAGGCUCACCAAGCCGACGAUCUGUAGCUGGUCUGAGAGGACGACCAGCCACACUGGGACUGAGACACGGCCCAGACUCCUACGGGAGGCAGCAGUGGGGAAUUUUGGACAAUGGGCGCAAGCCUGAUCCAGCCAUGCCGCGUGCGGGAAGAAGGCCUUCGGGUUGUAAACCGCUUUUGUCAGGGAAGAAAAGGUUCUGGCUAAUACCUGGGACUCAUGACGGUACCUGAAGAAUAAGCACCGGCUAACUACGUG